UAGGGAAUCUUCGGCAAUGGGGGGAACCCUGAACGAGCAACGCCGCGUGAGUGAAGAAGGUUUUCGGAUCGUAAAGCUCUGUUGUUAAGGAAGAACGAGUGUGAGAAUGGAAAGUUCAUGCUGUGACGGUACUUAACCAGAAAGGGACGGCUAACUACGUGCCAGCAGCCGCGGUAAUACGUAGGUCCCGAGCGUUGUCCGGAUUUAUUGGGCGUAAAGCGAGCGCAGGCGGUUAGAAAAGUCUGAAGUGAAAGGCAGUGGCUCAACCAUUGUAGGCUUUGGAAACUGUUUAACUUGAGUGCAGAAGGGGAGAGUGGAAUUCCAGGUGUAGCGGUAAAAUGCGUAGAUAUAUGGAGGAACACCGGUGGCGAAAGCGGCUCUCUGGUCUGUAACUGACGAUGAGGCUCGAAAGCGUGGGGAGCGAACAGG
This 429-nucleotide ribosomal RNA is filed under the name Bacteroidota bacterium. RNAcentral describes it as "Bacteroidetes bacterium partial 16S ribosomal RNA". It matches the Rfam family "Bacterial small subunit ribosomal RNA", at positions 355 to 776 of the family's 1533-position model. Lineage: Bacteria; Pseudomonadati; Bacteroidota. The record is from RNAcentral.